Molecule: unclassified non-coding RNA, 265 nt
Filed under: Herpotrichiellaceae sp.
Lineage: Eukaryota; Fungi; Ascomycota; Eurotiomycetes; Chaetothyriales; Herpotrichiellaceae
Description: partial contains 5.8S ribosomal RNA, internal transcribed spacer 2, and large subunit ribosomal RNA
Source: RNAcentral
CGCACAUUGCGCCCUUUGGUAUUCCGAAGGGCAUGCCUGUUCGAGCGUCAUUAUCACCCCUCAAGCUCCGGCUUGAUGUUGGACUUCGUUGCAGACCCCCCUGCGGCGGGCCCCAAAGACAGUGACGCCGUCCCAGAGGGAACCGGUACGAGGAGCUUCCAGUUAAGCAUGUACGCGGGAGGACUCUAGAGGCGGCGGCCGCUUUAAUUAGUAUUUUUACUCCAGUGUUGACCUCGGAUCAGGUAGGGAUACCCGCUGAACUUAA